Molecule: ribosomal RNA, 719 nt
Filed under: Bacillus thuringiensis
Lineage: Bacteria; Bacillati; Bacillota; Bacilli; Caryophanales; Bacillaceae
Description: bacterial SSU rRNA
Rfam family: Bacterial small subunit ribosomal RNA
Source: RNAcentral
GCUCUUAUGAAGUUAGCGGCGGACGGGUGAGUAACACGUGGGUAACCUGCCCAUAAGACUGGGAUAACUCCGGGAAACCGGGGCUAAUACCGGAUAACAUUUUGAACUGCAUGGUUCGAAAUUGAAAGGCGGCUUCGGCUGUCACUUAUGGAUGGACCCGCGUCGCAUUAGCUAGUUGGUGAGGUAACGGCUCACCAAGGCAACGAUGCGUAGCCGACCUGAGAGGGUGAUCGGCCACACUGGGACUGAGACACGGCCCAGACUCCUACGGGAGGCAGCAGUAGGGAAUCUUCCGCAAUGGACGAAAGUCUGACGGAGCAACGCCGCGUGAGUGAUGAAGGCUUUCGGGUCGUAAAACUCUGUUGUUAGGGAAGAACAAGUGCUAGUUGAAUAAGCUGGCACCUUGACGGUACCUAACCAGAAAGCCACGGCUAACUACGUGCCAGCAGCCGCGGUAAUACGUAGGUGGCAAGCGUUAUCCGGAAUUAUUGGGCGUAAAGCGCGCGCAGGUGGUUUCUUAAGUCUGAUGUGAAAGCCCACGGCUCAACCGUGGAGGGUCAUUGGAAACUGGGAGACUUGAGUGCAGAAGAGGAAAGUGGAAUUCCAUGUGUAGCGGUGAAAUGCGUAGAGAUAUGGAGGAACACCAGUGGCGAAGGCGACUUUCUGGUCUGUAACUGACACUGAGGCGCGAAACCGUGGGGAGCAAACAGGAUUAGAUA